AAUAUUGGACAAUGGGCGAAAGCCUGAUCCAGCCAUGCCGCGUGUGUGAAGAAGGUCUUCGGAUUGUAAAGCACUUUAAGUUGGGAGGAAGGGCAGUAAGUUAAUACCUUGCUGUUUUGACGUUACCGACAGAAUAAGCACCGGCUAACUUCGUGCCAGCAGCCGCGGUAAUACGAAGGGUGCAAGCGUUAAUCGGAAUUACUGGGCGUAAAGGGGGGGUUGGUGGGUUGGUAAGGUUGAAGGGGAAGCCCCGGGGUCAAACUGGGGACUGGUUUGAAAACCGGCAAGGUAGGGGAGGGGCGAGGGGGGUGGGAAUUUCUGGGUUGGGGUUAAAAGGCUAAAAAAGGGGAAGAAACCCAGGGGGGAAGGCGACCACCUGGGGUUAUACUUGCACUGGGGGGGCAAAGCGUGGGGAGCAAACAGG
Molecule: ribosomal RNA, 424 nt
Filed under: uncultured bacterium
Lineage: Bacteria
Description: partial 16S ribosomal RNA
Rfam family: Bacterial small subunit ribosomal RNA
Source: RNAcentral